UCUGGAACAGUACUGACGCUCAGAUGCGAAAGCGUGGGUAGCAAACAGGAUUAGAUACCCUGGUAGUCCACGCCCUAAACGAUGAAUGUUAGUCGUCGGGAGGCUCGUCCUUUCGGUGAUGCAGCUAACGCAUUAAACAUUCCGCCUGGGGAGUACGGUCGCAAGAUUAAAACUCAAAGGAAUAGACGGGGACCCGCACAAGUGGUGGAGCAUGUGGUUUAAUUCGAAGAUACGCGAAGAACCUUACCUAGCCUUGACAUUGAUAGAAUCCGAUGGAAACAUUGGAGUGCCAGUUUACUGGAGCUUGAAAACAGGUGCUGCACGGCUGUCGUCAGCUCGUGUCGUGAGAUGUUGGGUUAAGUCCCGCAACGAGCGCAACCCUCGUCCUUAGUUACUAACGGUUCGGCCGAGGACUCUAAGGAGACUGCCUUCGUAAGGAGGAGGAAGGUGAGGACGACGUCAAGUCAUCAUGGCCCUUACGGCUAGGGCGACACACGUGCUACAAUGGAUAGGACAAUGAGACGCAAUACCGCGAGGUGGAGCAAAUCUAUAAACCUAUUCUCAGUUCGGAUUGUAGUCUGCAACUCGACUACAUGAAGCUGGAAUCACUAGUAAUCGUAGAUCAGCCAUGCUACGGUGAAUACGUUCCCGGGUCUUGUACUCACCGCCCGUCACACCAUGGGAGUUGAUUUCACCCGAAGCGGGGAAGCUAAACUGGCUACCCUCCACGGUGGAAUCAGCGACUGGGGUGAAGUCGUAACAAGGUAGCC
Molecule: ribosomal RNA, 770 nt
Filed under: uncultured Campylobacterota bacterium
Lineage: Bacteria; Pseudomonadati; Campylobacterota
Description: bacterial SSU rRNA
Rfam family: Bacterial small subunit ribosomal RNA
Source: RNAcentral